GGUGUAAGGGUAAAAUCCGUAGAGAUCAGAAGGAAUGCCGAUUGCGAAGGCGAUCUACUGGAACAUUAUUGACGCUGAGACGCGAAAGCGUGGGGAGCAAACAGGAUUAGAUACCCUGGUAGUCCACGCCCUAAACGAUGUACACUAGUUGUUGUGAGGCUCGACCUUGCAGUAAUGCAGUUAACACAUUAAGUGUACCGCCUGGGGAGUACGGUCGCAAGAUUAAAACUCAAAGGAAUAGACGGGGACCCGCACAAGCGGUGGAGCAUGUGGUUUAAUUCGACGAUACACGAAGAACCUUACCUGGACUUGACAUAGUAAGAACUUUCUAGAGAUAGAUUGGUGUCUGCUUGCAGAAACUUAUAUACAGGUGCUGCACGGCUGUCGUCAGCUCGUGUCGUGAGAUGUUGGGUUAAGUCCCGCAACGAGCGCAACCCUCGUCCUUAGUUGCUAACAGUUCGGCUGAGAACUCUAAGGAGACUGCCUACGCAAGUAGGAGGAAGGUGAGGACGACGUCAAGUCAUCAUGGCCCUUACGUCCAGGGCUACACACGUGCUACAAUGGGAUAUACAAAGAGCAGCAAUACG
RNAcentral lists this ribosomal RNA (587 nucleotides) under uncultured bacterium. RNAcentral describes it as "bacterial SSU rRNA". It matches the Rfam family "Bacterial small subunit ribosomal RNA", at positions 672 to 1256 of the family's 1533-position model. The record is from RNAcentral.